Molecule: ribosomal RNA, 481 nt
Filed under: uncultured bacterium
Lineage: Bacteria
Description: partial 16S ribosomal RNA
Rfam family: Bacterial small subunit ribosomal RNA
Source: RNAcentral
GACGAACGUUGGCGGCGUGCUUAAUACAUGCAAGUCAACUGAAGCAGUGGUAGCAAUAUCGCUGUGGAGGUGGCGCACGGGUGAGUAACACGUAGGUAAUCUGCCUUCAGGUCUGGCAUAACUCCGGGAAACCGGGGCUAAUAGCAGAUGAUGCAGCGGCUCGACAUCGAGACAGUUGUUAAAGCUAUGGCGCCUGAAGAUGAGCCUGCGUCUGAUUAGCUAGUUGGCGGGGUAACGGCCCACCAAGGCAACGAUCAGUAGCUGGUCUGAGAGGAUGAUCAGCCACACUGGAACGGAGACACGGUCCAGACUCCUACGGGAGGCAGCAGUAAGGAAUAUUGCUCAAUGGGAGAAAUCCUGAAGCAGCAACGCCGCGUGAGGGACGAAGGGCUUUUGCUUGUAAACCUCUGUAGUGAGAGAAAAAAAUCCCAAUCUUUGGGACAUGAUGGUAUCUCAAAAGUAAGCCCCGGCUAACCACGUG